RNAcentral lists this ribosomal RNA (1656 nucleotides) under Salmonella enterica subsp. enterica serovar Ohio. RNAcentral's name for it is "partial 23S ribosomal RNA". It matches the Rfam family "Bacterial large subunit ribosomal RNA", at positions 576 to 2215 of the family's 2925-position model. Lineage: Bacteria; Pseudomonadati; Pseudomonadota; Gammaproteobacteria; Enterobacterales; Enterobacteriaceae. The record is from RNAcentral.
GGGGGCUUAGUGGUGGGGUGACUGCGUACCUUUUGUAUAAUGGGUCAGCGACUUAUAUUCUGUAGCAAGGUUAACCGAAUAGGGGAGCCGUAGGGAAACCGAGUCUUAACCGGGCGUUAAGUUGCAGGGUAUAGACCCGAAACCCGGUGAUCUAGCCAUGGGCAGGUUGAAGGUUGGGUAACACUAACUGGAGGACCGAACCGACUAAUGUUGAAAAAUUAGCGGAUGACCUGUGGCUGGGGGUGAAAGGCCAAUCAAACCGGGAGAUAGCUGGUUCUCCCCGAAAGCUAUUUAGGUAGCGCCUCGUGAAUUCAUCUCCGGGGGUAGAGCACUGUUUCGGCUAGGGGGCCAUCCCGGCUUACCAACCCGAUGCAAACUGCGAAUACCGGAGAAUGUUAUCACGGGAGACACACGGCGGGUGCUAACGUCCGUCGUGAAGAGGGAAACAACCCAGACCGCCAGCUAAGGUCCCAAAGUCAUGGUUAAGUGGGAAACGAUGUGGGAAGGCCCAGACAGCCAGGAUGUUGGCUUAGAAGCAGCCAUCAUUUAAAGAAAGCGUAAUAGCUCACUGGUCGAGUCGGCCUGCGCGGAAGAUGUAACGGGGCUAAACCAUGCACCGAAGCUGCGGCAGCGACGCUGAUGCGUUGUUGGGUAGGGGAGCGUUCUGUAAGCCUGCGAAGGUGGCCUGUGAGGGUUGCUGGAGGUAUCAGAAGUGCGAAUGCUGACAUAAGUAACGAUAAAGCGGGUGAAAAGCCCGCUCGCCGGAAGACCAAGGGUUCCUGUCCAACGUUAAUCGGGGCAGGGUGAGUCGACCCCUAAGGCGAGGCCGAAAGGCGUAGUCGAUGGGAAACGGGUUAAUAUUCCCGUACUUGGUGUUACUGCGAAGGGGGGACGGAGAAGGCUAUGUUGGCCGGGCGACGGUUGUCCCGGUUUAAGCGUGUAGGUGUGUGUUCCAGGUAAAUCCGGUUCACUUUAACACUGAGGCGUGAUGACGAGGCACUACGGUGCUGAAGCAACAAAUGCCCUGCUUCCAGGAAAAGCCUCUAAGCAUCAGGUAACAUCAAAUCGUACCCCAAACCGACACAGGUGGUCAGGUAGAGAAUACCAAGGCGCUUGAGAGAACUCGGGUGAAGGAACUAGGCAAAAUGGUGCCGUAACUUCGGGAGAAGGCACGCUGACACGUAGGUGAAGUGAUUUACUCAUGGAGCUGAAGUCAGUCGAAGAUACCAGCUGGCUGCAACUGUUUAUUAAAAACACAGCACUGUGCAAACACGAAAGUGGACGUAUACGGUGUGACGCCUGCCCGGUGCCGGAAGGUUAAUUGAUGGGGUCAGCGCAAGCGAAGCUCCUGAUCGAAGCCCCGGUAAACGGCGGCCGUAACUAUAACGGUCCUAAGGUAGCGAAAUUCCUUGUCGGGUAAGUUCCGACCUGCACGAAUGGCGUAAUGAUGGCCAGGCUGUCUCCACCCGAGACUCAGUGAAAUUGAACUCGCUGUGAAGAUGCAGUGUACCCGCGGCAAGACGGAAAGACCCCGUGAACCUUUACUAUAGCUUGACACUGAACAUUGAGCCUUGAUGUGUAGGAUAGGUGGGAGGCUUUGAAGUGUGGACGCCAGUCUGCAUGGAGCCGACCUUGAAAUACCACCCUUUAAUGUUU